AGCUCAAUGGCCUUGGUGAGCUCGCCAGUGCGAAUUCAGUUUUGCCUGACAGUUCCUUUGAUUUCCUAACUUGGUAUACCGACUUUGGCUUGACCUGAAACGCAUCCUUGAACCAAGUUAAUAAUCUUAUGAUCACUCUCAACCACCUUAAUUGGUCCAUGUUGUUACAUCAUUCUUGAGUCACAUUGCCUUCACUAAAGCCAAAAGUCCUUCCUUGAAACGUUUAGUUCGGCUUCUUGUUACGGGUCCAACUAUCACUUGCAUCGGAUCCUCCAUUUGAAUCCAAGCUAUUGAUGUCCUCAUUAUUCUUGCCAGAUGCUUGCUUUCAUCAGAACUUGACAUCCUUAUUUUAAUGCCAAUUGCUAGAAGGCAACAUGCAUUUACUCUUGAUUUGAUUCCACAUGUUAGCAUAUCAUUCUCCAAUACUUAAAGUAUUACAAGCCAUGACUAGGAUGAAACUAAACAACUCUUAUGUUUGAAGUUUUAACUUCGAAGAGUAAUUUUACUAGGCAUUAAAUUGAGCAUAGAUAUUAUUCACUUUGUUCUAAAAAGAUUUUCACUUAAGAAAUUUAUUAAUAUUAAAAAUAUUUUUGUGGCACGUGUACCCUUAAGAGAUGACAUUCAAAAUUUGUUCUUAAAAUCACUAUUCUCACUGAUUAUUUAGCUACAUCCAUUAAGUUUUAUUUUACUUAUUAUGGGCCUCAUGUGACUUAAAAUAAUUGAAUGAAAAACAAAA
This 736-nucleotide long non-coding RNA is filed under the name Panax ginseng (ginseng). RNAcentral's name for it is "long non-coding RNA (PGIN_LNC017847)". Lineage: Eukaryota; Viridiplantae; Streptophyta; Magnoliopsida; Apiales; Araliaceae. The record is from RNAcentral.